Molecule: ribosomal RNA, 121 nt
Filed under: Polynucleobacter difficilis
Lineage: Bacteria; Pseudomonadati; Pseudomonadota; Betaproteobacteria; Burkholderiales; Burkholderiaceae
Description: partial 23S ribosomal RNA
Rfam family: Bacterial large subunit ribosomal RNA
Source: RNAcentral
GAUCAAGUGAAUAAGUGCAUGUGGUGGAUGCCUUGGCGAUUACAGGCGAUGAAAGACGUUAUAGCCUGCGAUAAGCCCCGGGGAGCUGGCAAAUAAGCUUUGAUCCGGGGAUUUCUGAAUG